GAUGAACGCUGGCGGCGUGCCUAAUACAUGCAAGUCGAGCGAACAGACGAGGAGCUUGCUCCUCUGACGUUAGCGGCGGACGGGUGAGUAACACGUGGAUCACCUACCUAUAAGACUGGGAUAACUUCGGGAAACCGGAGCUAAUACCGGAUAAUAUAUUGAACCGCAUGGUUCAAUAGUGAAAGACGGUUUUGCUGUCACUUAUAGAUGGUUCCGCGUCGCAUUAGCUAGUUGGUAAGGUAACGGCUUACCAAGGCAACGAUGCGUAGCCGACCUGAGAGGGUGAUCGGCCACACUGGAACUGAGACACGGUCCAGACUCCUACGGGAGGCAGCAGUAGGGAAUCUUCCGCAAAGGGCGAAAGCCUGACGGAGCAACGCCGCGUGAGUGAUGAAGGUCUUCGGAUCGUAAAACUCUGUUAUUAGGGAAGAACAAAUGUGUAAGUAACUAUGCACGUCUUGACGGUACCUAAUCAGAAAGCCACGGCUAACUACGUG
This 497-nucleotide ribosomal RNA is filed under the name uncultured bacterium. RNAcentral's name for it is "partial 16S ribosomal RNA". It matches the Rfam family "Bacterial small subunit ribosomal RNA", at positions 28 to 507 of the family's 1533-position model. The record is from RNAcentral.